UAAUUUCAUGUAUAUAGUUAUGAGGCUAAAAAUGUGUCUUCUGGGCUUAAAACUCUCCAGGAGCAGAGGGGCAGUUCACACCUCAUCAGAGCAUGUAUGAGACAAACCCAGCCCAGCCUCAAAGGAACAAAGGACACUGGCCUAGGCAGCAACAAAGGAUCUGUUGGACUCUCCAUCUGUGACAGGGUGUACCAGGCAUUCACUGACCCCUGCUGGAAGCCCCACUCUCUUUUCACACCCUGCCCUAAGAAAGUGUUCUGCUGGAAGAGAAAAGCAGCAAGUUCAGACAUCAAGGGGAUGCACAGACGCCCUCCCUGGCAGGCGGCAGACCAUUGUGGAACUAGGACACAGGGGGGCGCUAGAGAGGAAGAGUCCCUGCGAUGCUGUGCCCUGACACAACUGGGCGCUCUGGUGGUGAGUGCACACUAUAACACAAUCCAUAAAUGGGAAUCCUCUGGGAUCCUAUUCUUCAGCAUCACUCUCAAAAGACCUCAGGAGAGCUGGGUGCAGCUCCUUCCGCCUUCCAAAGAGGCUCACUCAAGCAAUGAGAGACUAUCCUUCCUGACUGUGCCUGAGUAUCUCUUGCCUUGCAUCUUGUGUAAGUCAGUUCCACCUGUGCAAACUGGAUGCAAAAUGCUACCUGGUUAGCAUUUCCCACUCACUUGUACCAAUGAGCAGCAUUUUACAUCAACUUUUCACAGGUGUAACCACUCCUACAAGGCACAAUGCAGCAGAGAGUCAGGCCCACUGCUUCAACAGUACCCCUAACUGACGGCUUGCUGGGCUGUCCUUACAAAUUGUGGCACCCCAUGCAAGAAUCCUAACCUGCUUAAGAGGGAGGAGUGAAUCUGGGCCAAGUGUAUCUUCUCCUUUGUUCUCAUUACUUGUCAUUUCUAUAUUUUACUCCUGAAGACAGUGGCAAAACUCUGACUUUAAUGAAAACAGGAACAGACCCUUUGGGAAUUAGGAAAAUGCUCAACACCUGAGCACAGGUCACCCUGAUUUGUCUUUUUGUGAUAGCAAUUACUUGUAGAUUUCAUGCUUUUCUUAAAAAUAAUCAGAGACUUUUUUAAAAAAAA
RNAcentral lists this long non-coding RNA (1079 nucleotides) under Chrysemys picta bellii (western painted turtle). RNAcentral describes it as "lncRNA (ENSCPBG00000016556.1)". Lineage: Eukaryota; Metazoa; Chordata; Testudines; Emydidae. The record is from RNAcentral.